GAACGCACCUUGCACCCUUUGGUAUUCCGAAGGGUAUGCUCGUUUGAGUGUCAUGAAACUCUCAACCCCCGGGUUUCCGGGUGGCUUGGAUUUGGGCGCUGCCGCCUUGGCUCGCCUUAAAAGACUUAGUGGGAUACGCCGUCGCCCGAUGUAAUACGUUUCGUCUGGUGCUGUGCCGACUCUUGCUCAUAACACCCCAUAUUUUGUGCUCUGACCUCAAAUCAGGUAGGACUACCCGCUGAACUUAAG
This 249-nucleotide unclassified non-coding RNA is filed under the name uncultured fungus. RNAcentral describes it as "sequence contains 5.8S rRNA gene". The record is from RNAcentral. Lineage: Eukaryota; Fungi.